AUUGAACGCUGGCGGCAGGCCUAACACAUGCAAGUCGAGCGGAGGAAGGGAGCUUGCUCCUGGAUUCAGCGGCGGACGGGUGAGGAAUGCCUAGGAAUCUGCCUGGUAGUGGGGGAUAACGUCCGGAAACGGGCGCUAGUACCGCAUACGUCCUGAGGGAGAAAGUGGGGGAUCUUCGGACCUCGCGCUAUCAGAUGAGCCUAGGUCGGAUUAGCUAGUUGGUGGGGUAAAGGCCUACCAAGGCGACGAUCCGUAACUGGUCUGAGGGGAUGAUCAGUCACACUGGUACGGCGACGAGGUCCAGACUCCUACGGGAGGUGGCAGUGGGGAAUAUUGGAGAAUGGGCGGAAGCCUGAUCCAGCCAUGCCGCGUGUGUGAAGAAGGUCUUCGGCGUGUAAAGCACUUUAAGUUGGGAGGAAGGGCAGUAAGUUAAUACCUUGCUGUUUUGACGUUACCAACAGAAUAAGCACCGGCUAACUUCGUG
Molecule: ribosomal RNA, 484 nt
Filed under: uncultured bacterium
Lineage: Bacteria
Description: partial 16S ribosomal RNA
Rfam family: Bacterial small subunit ribosomal RNA
Source: RNAcentral